RNAcentral lists this ribosomal RNA (497 nucleotides) under uncultured bacterium. RNAcentral describes it as "partial 16S ribosomal RNA". It matches the Rfam family "Bacterial small subunit ribosomal RNA", at positions 28 to 507 of the family's 1533-position model. The record is from RNAcentral.
GAUGAACGCUGGCGGCGUGCCUAAUACAUGCAAGUCGAGCGAACAGACGAGGAGCUUGCUCCUUUGACGUUAGCGGCGGACGGGUGAGUAACACGUGGGUAACCUACCUAUAAGACUGGGAUAACUUCGGGAAACCGGAGCUAAUACCGGAUAAUAUUUCGAACCGCAUGGUUCGAUAGUGAAAGAUGGCUUUGCUAUCACUUAUAGAUGGACCUGCGCCGUAUUAGCUAGUUGGUAAGGUAACGGCUUACCAAGGCAACGAUACGUAGCCGACCUGAGAGGGUGAUCGGCCACACUGGAACUGAGACACGGUCCAGACUCCUACGGGAGGCAGCAGUAGGGAAUCUUCCGCAAUGGGCGAAAGCCUGACGGAGCAACGCCGCGUGAGUGAUGAAGGUCUUCGGAUCGUAAAACUCUGUUAUUAGGGAAGAACAAACGUGUAAGUAACUGUGCACGUCUUGACGGUACCUAAUCAGAAAGCCGCGGCUAACUACGUG